Molecule: ribosomal RNA, 497 nt
Filed under: uncultured bacterium
Lineage: Bacteria
Description: partial 16S ribosomal RNA
Rfam family: Bacterial small subunit ribosomal RNA
Source: RNAcentral
GACGAACGCUGGCGGCGUGCCUAAUACAUGCAAGUUGAGCGCUGAAGGUUGGUACUUGUACCAACUGGAUGAGCAGCGAACGGGUGAGUAACGCGUGGGGAAUCUGCCUUUGAGCGGGGGACAACAUUUGGAAACGAAUGCUAAUACCGCAUAAAAACUUUAAACACAAGUUUUAAGUUUGAAAGAUGCAAUUGCAUCACUCAAAGAUGAUCCCGCGUUGUAUUAGCUAGUUGGUGAGGUAAAGGCUCACCAAGGCGAUGAUACAUAGCCGACCUGAGAGGGUGAUCGGCCACAUUGAGACUGAGACACGGCCCAAACUCCUACGGGAGGCAGCAGUAGGGAAUCUUCGGCAAUGGACGAAAGUCUGACCGAGCAACGCCGCGUGAGUGAAGAAGGGUUUCGGAUCGUAAAACUCUGUUGGUAGAGAAGAACGUUGGUGAGAGUGGAAAGCUCAUCAAGUGACGGUAACUACCCAGAAAGGGACGGCUAACUACGUG